This 498-nucleotide ribosomal RNA is filed under the name uncultured bacterium. RNAcentral's name for it is "partial 16S ribosomal RNA". It matches the Rfam family "Bacterial small subunit ribosomal RNA", at positions 30 to 523 of the family's 1533-position model. The record is from RNAcentral.
AUUGAACGCUGGCGGCAUGCCUUACACAUGCAAGUCGAACGGUAACAGAUCUUCGGAUGCUGACGAGCGGCGAACGGGUGAGUAAUACAUCGGAACGUGCCCGAUCGUGGGGGAUAACGAAGCGAAAGCUUUGCUAAUACCGCAUACGAUCUACGGAUGAAAGCAGGGGACCGCAAGGCCUUGCGCGAACGGAGCGGCCGGUGGCAGAUUAGGUAGUUGGUGGGAUAAAAGCUUACCAAGCCGACGAUCUGUAGCUGGUCUGAGAGGACGACCAGCCACACUGGGACUGAGACACGGCCCAGACUCCUACGGGAGGCAGCAGUGGGGAAUUUUGGACAAUGGGCGAAAGCCCGAUCCAGCCAUGCCGCGUGCAGGAUGAAGGCCUUCGGGUUGUAAACUGCUUUUGUACGGAACGAAAAGACUCUGGUUAAUACCUGGAGUCCAUGACGGUACCGUAAGAAUAAGCACCGGCUAACUACGUGCCAGCAGCCGCAGUAA